GAUGAACGCUGGCGGCGUGCCUAAUACAUGCAAGUCGAGCGAGAAGACGAGGAGCUUGCUCCCCUGCCGUUAGCGACUGACGGGUGAGUAACACGUGGAUAACCUUCUUCUAAUACUGGGAUAACUACGGGAAAACGGAGCUAAUAACAGCUCAUAUAUUGUACCGCAUGAAUCAAUAGUUAAAGACACUUUUGCUGUCUCAUUUAGAUGGUUCCGCGCCGCAUUGGCUAGUUGGUAAGGUAACGGCUUACCAAGGCAACGAUGCGUAGCUGACCUGAGAGGGUGAUCAGCCACACUGGAACUGAGACACGGUCCAGACUCCUACGGGAGGCAGCAGUAGGGAAUCUUCCGCAAUGGGCGAAAGCCUGACGGAGCAACGCCGCGUGAGUGAUGAAGGUCUUCGGAUCGUAAAACUCUUUUAUUAGGGAAGAAAAAAUGUGGAAUAAACUAUGCACGUCUUGACGGUACCUAAUCAGAAAGCCACGGCUAACUACGUG
This 497-nucleotide ribosomal RNA is filed under the name uncultured bacterium. Its description in RNAcentral is "partial 16S ribosomal RNA". It matches the Rfam family "Bacterial small subunit ribosomal RNA", at positions 28 to 507 of the family's 1533-position model. The record is from RNAcentral.